Ailuropoda melanoleuca (giant panda) is the source of this 388-nucleotide long non-coding RNA. RefSeq lists it as uncharacterized. The transcript has 3 exons. NCBI's taxonomy places the organism in Eukaryota, Metazoa, Chordata, Mammalia, Carnivora, Ursidae. The record is from RefSeq and is a predicted model, not a curated record.
CCAGUAGGCUCCGCUGUGGCGUGGGCGCCUCAGGAACAGCCCUGGCGCCUACUCGGAAGCGCCGGGGCCUCUGGCCAGGCGGCGCUUCCCUCCGAGGCCCGAUGCUGCCGGGAGCCCGCGGAGGCUCCACGUGCGCGUCUCCCCGCACGCCGAGCGCGCGCACGCCCGCGCGCCCACGCCCGCGAGCCCGCCCGCGCCUUCGCGGAGGGACCUGGGAGUGAAGCGCCGGACUGGGCCUGGGUCGCACAGAUGGAUUAUGUAGCUGCCCCAGAUCGUACCUGCACUCCUAUUUACUAGAAAAAUGCAUGUGAGAUCUGAAGGAGAGAUAGAGUGAGGAGUUCUAACUAGAGAGCGAGAAAGAAAGGGGACAAGUAGGAGCGGCAGGCAG